RNAcentral lists this long non-coding RNA (299 nucleotides) under Mytilus galloprovincialis (Mediterranean mussel). Lineage: Eukaryota; Metazoa; Mollusca; Bivalvia; Mytilida; Mytilidae. The record is from RNAcentral.
GUCGUUUUGUUUAUAUGGAAGGAAUAUGACAGUUGUUAUAUAAUAGUUCGUUUCUGUGUAUAUUGGGGUUUGUUUUGUUGUACUUCAGUGUUAAUGUUGUUCCUUUGUUUUCCUCUUAAAGUUGAUGCGUUUCUUUCGGUUGUAGUUUGUAACCUGGAUUUGUUUUCUAUCAAUCGAUUUAUGACUUUUGACAACGGUAUACUACUGUUGCCUUUACUUCUCCAAUUAAUGAAAAUGUCUCUGAAGCUAGCUUGUUUGAAUCGUUAUGUACACUUGUUUAACUUAUGAUUGUUUUUUUU